UAAAGGUUGGGUGGCAAAGGUGAAAACGGGAGGUAAGAGCUCCCGACGGUUUGACCGGUAACGGUCACGUGCUAAACCCCACGCGGAGCAAGACCAAAAAGGGCCAGGGUUGCUCGCCCGCUACAACGCCCGAGUAGGUCGCAUCGAGGUUGGUGGCAACAUCAGCCCCAGACAGAUAAUCGUCCACGACAGAAUCCGGCUUACCGGCCUGCCCUUUUA
RNAcentral lists this RNase P RNA (219 nucleotides) under Candidatus Margulisiibacteriota bacterium. Its description in RNAcentral is "partial RNase P RNA component class A". It matches the Rfam family "Bacterial RNase P class A", at positions 135 to 367 of the family's 367-position model. From Rfam's summary of the family: Ribonuclease P (RNase P) is a ubiquitous endoribonuclease, found in archaea, bacteria and eukarya as well as chloroplasts and mitochondria. Its best characterised activity is the generation of mature 5'-ends of tRNAs by cleaving the 5'-leader elements of precursor-tRNAs. Cellular RNase Ps are ribonucleoproteins. Lineage: Bacteria; Bacillati; Candidatus Margulisiibacteriota. The record is from RNAcentral.